GACGAACGCUGGCGGCGUGCUUAACACAUGCAAGUCGAACGGAAAGGCCCUGCUUGCAGGGUGCUCGGGUGGCGAACGGGUGAGUAACACGUGGGUGAUCUGCCCCUUACUUUGGGAUAAGCCUGGGAAACUGGGUCUAAUACUGGAUAGGACCAUGCUGUAGGUGGUGUGGUGGAAAGAUUAGUUUCGGUAAGGGAUGAGCUCGCGGCCUAUCAGCUUGUUGGUGGGGUAAUGGCCUACCAAGGCGUCGACGGGUAGCCGGCCUGAGAGGGUGGACGGCCGCAUUGGGACUGAGAUACGGCCCAGACUCCUACGGGAGGCAGCAGUGGGGAAUAUUGCACAAUGGGCGCAAGCCUGAUGCAGCGACGCCGCGUGGGGGAUGACGGCCUUCGGGUUGUAAACUCCUUUCAGCCAUGACGAAGCCCUUGUGGUGACGGUAGUGGUAGAAGAAGCACCGGCUAACUACGUG
This 469-nucleotide ribosomal RNA is filed under the name uncultured bacterium. RNAcentral describes it as "partial 16S ribosomal RNA". It matches the Rfam family "Bacterial small subunit ribosomal RNA", at positions 28 to 507 of the family's 1533-position model. The record is from RNAcentral.